This is a small nucleolar RNA of Nycticebus coucang (slow loris), 81 nucleotides long. RefSeq annotates it as small nucleolar RNA SNORA13. NCBI's taxonomy places the organism in Eukaryota, Metazoa, Chordata, Mammalia, Primates, Lorisidae. The transcript has a single exon. The record is from RefSeq and is a predicted model, not a curated record.
AGGCAUAAAUUAAAUGCUUUGCAGCCUUUUCCUUCCCUUAAAUUUGAUAUCUUUGGUGUAGGGGCUGCAUAAGUAACAGUU